AACCCACACUUCACGGCCGGCUGCACAACCGCCGUCUCCGCCGCCCGUCGGAAUAUUCAGGUAUGAUCGGUUAUCACCAUUUCAUUGGACUGCACUCGUUGAUUUCGAUUCAAAUAAUCAUAUGGUAAAAAAAUCCAUAAUUAUUUCGAUAACAGUUUAAAUUGAAUACAUUUUUAUCUGUUUUAAAGUUAACUUGUCCGAAAUGGUAUUUUUUUCUUUUCUUAAUUUCAAUCAGACAUAAACCCUAAAUCAAUCUGGCAUUUGAAGAAGCAGAGUUCAUACCUUGUGGAUGAAUUGAUAAUAAAAAAAUCCGGCAGUUUCGAUAAUUCCGAAAUCAAGUUUAACACAUUCAGAAACUAAUGGAGAAUGAUUCUGCUUCAAAUCCAAGAUCUGGUGGUGGCGGAUCAACUUCCUCCGUCCAGGGCGGCGGCAUGAC
Molecule: long non-coding RNA, 436 nt
Filed under: Erythranthe guttata (spotted monkey flower)
Lineage: Eukaryota; Viridiplantae; Streptophyta; Magnoliopsida; Lamiales; Phrymaceae
Description: long non-coding RNA (EGUT_LNC001634)
Source: RNAcentral